UAAGCCGUCUAGAAAAACACAUUCGAAAGUCAAUUGCAAAAUUAACCUCUGCAUUGACCAGAAGAAUUCCAUGUAAGUCGUCUACAGCCAGAAGACUUACCCGGAAGUCGUCUGGACGAACAGAUCUUGAAAAAAACUAAUUUUAUAGUUUCAACCAGUGAGAUAACUUGUUUAGCACACAAAAGUCUUCUCCGAACACCCAUAAUCUCAAAAAAGUGACCCCGCAAGAAUCGUAAGUUUCAAUGGCUCUAUGAACCGUAAAGUUUUUAGAAUCAAAAUCUUGGGUUUUUUUUGGAUGAAUAUGGAGAAAAAGUAAAGAUAUGUUGUUUUUGGUUCAUAAGAAUUGAGAAAGAAAGAGUGUAAAUCGAUUUUUAGGUGCAUUAAAAACUUCAGAUUGUUUGUUCAUGGUGGUUGGUGUAUUGAAGGCAAUGACAACAUUGUGAAUACUUGAGGAAGAUGAGGGUGAUAGAGUAAAACAUGCAUUUUCAAAAAAAAAAUGAUAGUAUUUUCGCAAUAAUCUGAACUUUGGAGAUGAAAGAGACAAGUCAAAGUUCCAAAAAAAAAACUUGGGUUAGUUUUGUGUUUGAGUUCAAAUUUUGAGUUAUAUUUGCGAAAACCCCUUUUAUCUUUCAUCUUUAGUUAAUUGAUUCAACUUCAUUAUUAUCUUUUUAUUAUAACACCUAAGGACAUGGAUAUGGACUACAUCAUUUUCUCUCUCUCUAUAUAAAAAUAUCAUUUUGUCUUUGUUCAGAUAUACCAUAUCACAUAAAUCAAAAUGUGAAUAAACUGUGAGAUGCCAAAUUAUUUAGGAAAUUGAAUAAUGCAGUUUUUUUUUUUUUUUGUCAGCGAUAGAGAACUUUCGAGACCUUAUAGUUGUCCCAGUUUGCGAAAUUCAAGAAAAGUACCAUAUACAAUACAUAUAUGAUGUGUUAUAUAUAUUUGAAUAUUCAUGAAUUACAUAUAUGAUGUGUUAUAUAUAUUUGAAUAUUCAUGAAUAGUAUAGGAUCAAUACUGUUAAAUGUAUUUCUGUUAUAUAGUUAUAUUAACUUCUAACCAAAAUUAAUAAAAUAUAUAUCACAAAAUAAUAUACUAAUUUUAUUUGUUAUACGUGCAUCUGAGUACAUGUACCAAAUGAUAAUGUACUAAUUUUUAUGGUUUACAUUUAAAAAUUCAACAAUAAUAUACAAAUGAUAUUUUUAAUCAUCAUCAUGUAUCAAAACAACUCUUUAAAUUAAAAUAUAAUAUAAUUCAAAUUUUGAAACAAUAUACAUAACCAACUUUAAUUAAUUUACCCAUAUAUAAAAGAAUGGAGUUUAAUCAUGGGUUACCAAAAUCAAAAAAUUAUUUAAAUAAUAAAGAAAGUCUAACAAAUAUACGACUCAAAAAGUAGAGUUUCGAUACAUAUGGAUCAAAAUUUGCUUAUUAAAUAUACAUAAAUAAGUUAAACUCCAUUCUUUUAUAUAUGAAUGAGUCGUUUGCUAUAAAUAAAUUUCGUUUGCUCUAUAUACGGGUCAAAAUUUUCAACACUUUAGAUAAUAUUAUAAAGUUUUAAAUAAAAUAAAUUAUACUAGAAUACGUUUUAUCGGAUAUAUGUUUAAAUUAAUUGUAAUUCCUAUCUAAAUCAACAUUACAUUAAAUAUAUGCUCUUACAAAACUAUAAUUUUACAGAAAUCCUAAUUAACAAAUAUUUAUUUAUAAAUUAAUAUUUAAAAACUUAAAAUCAAUUUUUUAAACUGGCCUACGAUUAAUGUGUAGACAUUUUUAUAGUUACCAAUUUCACGAGUUAUCUAAUAGAAUAUAUAAAAUAUAUAAGUAGAGGCGAGCUGAACAAACAAUUUUUACUGCUAUUAUGAACUACCAAAUGAGUUAAUAAUUUUUUCAAAAAAUAAUAAUUAUAUGCUUUGAAAGCGCGGAUCAAAAUCUAGUGCUUACUUAAAUUUAUUAAUUUUGAUUAAAAACAUAAUCAUUAAACAAGCAUAGUUAGAAUUUAUUAUCGUCUCAUUUUCAAAUUUCAUAGCUGAAAGAAAGCAAAUUUAACCUGGUCUUCUUUGUGUUCAGAAAAAAAUAUGGACCAAAAUUUGAUUUUUACGCAGACACAAUCAUCAAUGUUUACAAGAACUUUGGGUAAAAGUGAAAAAAAUAUUAAGAAUAUGUUUCAAUAUAGAGUACACAUACAAUCCAUAAACCACAUGUAUUUUUCAUAUUAUGUUGGUUAUUUAAGUUAUAACUAGAUCUUGGUCCGCGCAACCGCGGGUGUUUUCACUUUUAUCUAUAUAUAUAUAUAUUAAAUGUUUAUAUUAUUUUUUCAAAUCCAAUAAUUUUGUUGUUUACAUUUUUUUCUAUUAUAUUAAUUGUUUGAAUCCACUACAUGUAUUUUUGUUUCUUCUUAUUAUAAAUAUAUCUUAUUUGAUUUUUACUUAAUUAUUAGAGAAAUAAUAUAUACUUUCUUAAAAAAAUUAAAAUUAUUUUACAUUUAACAUCUAAUUAUCAAAAUUAAAUUUAAAUGUAUUUUUAAUUUAAGUUUUAAAUAAUAAACAAUUUUAUUUGAUAAAUUUAUUUGAUAGUUUUAACAAUUAAAAAACAUUUGUAUACACUAAUCUUUAAGCAUUUAGUAUUAGUUACUAGAACAUAUGAUAAAAUGAACUAAUGAAUUUUAAACAAAAAACAUUGAUAAUUGUUUUUAAUAAGUUACAAUUGAAGGUAUAUUAUUAAAAUAUAAGUUUAUAUGUAAUGUAAUUCAAACAUAUACAAAUUUAAAUAAGCCUUUACAACAAUAUAUAAAUCUUAUCUAUUAAAACAUUAUAUAUCUUAUAAAUGGGCCAAUGAUAGGGUGGGCAAAAAAUCUGAACCAAACCAAACCAAACCGACCCAACCAAACUCAAACCGAUCUAAACCAAACCAAAAUAUAUUUCCAAACCAUUUGGUUAAAGGUUUUAUCAAUCCAAAUGGUUUGGUUUUGUUAAAAAAAACGAAGUGGUUAUUGAAUUAUAUUAACUAAUUAUAUUAAUAAUAUUAAAAUUUAAGAUAUUUCUUUACAUUUUUACCACAAAAAUAAGAUAUUUAACCAUCUAACCUAAACAACUAUUUUUUAUACAUUUUACUUAUAAAUAAAUAGAAGAAAUAUAUUAACAAUAAAAUAGAAAUAUAAAUAUCAUAAACUAUCACCAAAACAAAAAAAACUACUUGUGAUAUAUAUAUAUAUAUAUAUAUAUAUCUAUAUAUAUGUUUAUCAUAAACUAUGACCAAAUCAUAAAAAAUACUAUGCAAUAGCUUAUAAGUUAGUUUCUUAUGUACAAUUGUUUAUAUGGUUAAUUUGGAAAAAAACAUAAGAUGUGUUUAUAUUUCUUUAUAAUAGUAGAUUGGACUUUAGAUAACGAUUAAUGUUUUAACGAAUAUAAGUAAUGAUCUUAGGAGUAUCUUUUAUGUUUUGUAUAUAUGUGUUUUCAGAUAAUUUAAAAUUUGAAAUGCACGGUUCAAGAUUCUUAAAAUACACAUUAAUGGCUUCCUUCCAAUCUUAUAGGAAAAUAGUUAUUAUAGUCAAUAAUAUAUGAGGUGAUUUUAGUAAUGAUGCCAAAAUGUUAUUAAGAAAUUAAUGAAAUAUGAUUUUUUAGUAAUGGUCUAUUUUCAAAAAUAUCACACAUGAAUCAAGGUUGUGACUUCUUAUUUAGAUUUUUGUAAGACAUAAUACGAUCAUGUAGUAUAUAUCUCAAUAUUUAUAUUCCAUGAAAAAGAUAAUGAAUUGGUUUGGCCUAGUGGUAAAUGGGUUCCAGCUGGAGAUUCCUCCCGGAGUUUGAUUCCUCUUGGCCAUCUAUAGAUGCUUUAAGUGGCAAAAAAAACUCGGAUUUCUAUUGGUCACUUGGUUAUUAGUCUUUGGGCAUAGAAAAUAUUUGGCAUCACACCAUUAUCAAAAAAAAAAAAUUAAAGUUUGUAUGGAAUAUAUAAAAAUUAAUCUUCUAAAUUUAGUAAUAAUAGUUUGCGUGACGAUUUUCGAGAGUCUCUUCACUCGCCAUCUUCACUCGCCAUCUUCACUAUAAAUACAUGCUCUUAAGCUUACACAUCCUUCACGAAAAAAAAAAACCUUUUUUCUUCUGAUUACUUAUAACUUUAUAAGUGUGUUUGCGUAACUAGCAAAAGAAAAAUAAAAAACAUGGCAAGCUCCAAAUUUCUUGUUGUCUUGGCUUUGUUCUUUACAUGCUUAUCUCUAAAUUCAGCCAACUAUCGAAACAAACCCUGGGAACAAACUGAAAUGGUGAAUCCCAAUGGUGCUAUUGAUACCAAUGGGAAAGAGCCAGGGGAAUGAGGUGGAGGAUACGUAGGUUGGUGCAGGCACGGUUGCUGCUAUACGGGACGCAAUGGCUGCAUCCAAUGCUGUAGGUACGCCAACGAGCAAACUAACAAUGUGGGGAUGCAGAAACGCAGCCGUGGACAAGUGGAAAAGAAAUCAUCAGAGGAAGAGGAGGCUUCUCCAGUUUGGACUCAGAGCCGACACUGAAAAAGGAGCUAAACCAUAUAGACAUGUUACCGUUUAACGUAUGGCCACUUUAAGCUGCUUGUUUAAUAAAAUAAAAUGAAAACAUGAACGUAUCUUAGAUGGUACAUGGAAUAAAGUAAUUGUCCAAAAUAAAUAAAAAAGGUAAGUAUCCGUUUGUAUAUGUUGUCUGCAUGCGCAGCUCUAUAUAUGUGUUUGUU
Molecule: long non-coding RNA, 4689 nt
Organism: Brassica napus (rape)
Lineage: Eukaryota; Viridiplantae; Streptophyta; Magnoliopsida; Brassicales; Brassicaceae
Exons: 2
Source: RefSeq, a predicted model, not a curated record